This 440-nucleotide ribosomal RNA is filed under the name uncultured Anaerolineae bacterium. Its description in RNAcentral is "partial 16S ribosomal RNA". It matches the Rfam family "Bacterial small subunit ribosomal RNA", at positions 338 to 794 of the family's 1533-position model. The record is from RNAcentral. Lineage: Bacteria; Bacillati; Chloroflexota; Anaerolineae.
CCUACGGGAGGCAGCAGUGAGGAAUAUUGCGCAAUGGGCGAAAGCCAGACGCAGCAACGCCGCGUGGGCGAUGAAGGUCUUCGGAUCGUAAAGCCCUUUUCUAGAGGAAGAGGAAGGACAGUACUCUAGGAAUAAGUCUCGGCUAACUACGUGCCAGCAGCCGCGGUAAAACGUAGGAGGCUAGCGUUAUCCGGAUUCAUUGGGCGUAAAGCGCGUGUAGGCGGUGCUCUAAGUUGGAUGUGAAAUCUCCUGGCCUAACUGGGAGGGGUCAUUCAAUACUGGGGCACUUGAGGGCAGGAGAGGAAAGUGGAAUUCCCGGUGUAGCGGUAAAAUGCGUAGAUAUCGGGAGGAACACCAGUGGCGAAGGCGGCUUUCUGGCCUGCCCCUGACGCUGAGACGCGAAAGCUAGGGGAGCGAACGGGAUUAGAUACCCCAGUAGU